CAGGCGCCCUGCAGGUUGGCACAUUCUAAAAGGAAAUGCUAGACCCCCUAGCUAUGGAGGGCAUGCAAAGGUAUUGGGAAAUGGCCCUGCCAAUAUCAGCCCACUCUCCACCUUCUAUGGAAGAGAGGCCAGAAACAUUCUUUAGGAGCAAGGGCUUCUUUCUAGUGAGUCGUCUGAGUGCUGUGUUCCACAACCCAUCGCAUCUCUACUCUGCCAUGGGAAAUAUGCUCUCACCUUAACCUAAGUUCUUCACAAGAACUAUUUGGAAAUCUUGACCUGUGUCUUCUGGAGUUUGAGGGACAUAGGGGAUGGUGGCUGACUUUCACCACAAGAAGCCUGAAGGUGAAAAGCUAGUUGGAGGGGACUGCCUUGCAGCAGAAUGAAGAGAGAAGGUUCUGUGGCAGGGCACUGCACUUCCUUAGAUGAGUGGGCCAUGGAAUGGAGGGGGCACUCAUUCCUGGGCCACCUGUGAAUGGUGUGAAGGAUGCCACCCAAGAGAACCACUUGAAGGGUGAAGAGAUCUGGCAGAAGGGCACUAUAGCCAGAGGUCCCUAGUAGAUGGAUCUCCGAGGUACAUAUGCCAUACCAGAUGACGACUGUGUCAGUCACACAAGUGGGAACCAUUUGCACCUACUCCUUCCUCAAGGGCCUGAGGAAAGAGCAACUUGGUGAGUAGCAAGCAGAAAAGCUAACCACGACUUCCUUCUGCACUUCAGCUUCCAAGACUGAAGCAAGCCUGUCUAGAGGAAUGAGAGACGUUUGCAACCCAGCGCCUGCUCGUCCAGCUCACUCCAGGUACCACGACCUUGUCGCAGCCUAUUCGCAGUCCAGAGAAACUGAAGGAAACUGAUUGCAUUAGCUCAGAUGAUCUUCCUUCAAAAUAAGGCUGGAUCUUAUGUCAGAAUGAUUGCAGGAAAGAGGCCUGGCCGAAGAAGCAGAGAAACUCUGGCUUCAGAAACGUUCAAGGUUUAAACAUGGACUCUAUCUCCGCAAGCCAAAGUGUCUGUUCUAAAAGAAGAAACUGCGGAGGCUAGUGAUGACCAUUAUGUUAUAAAAGGCCCCAGAAACAGGGUCAACCCUGUGUAAAGUCCAGCACCUUACAAUUUUUGCAACUGGUCAAAAGAAAGAGAGCUACCAUGCAGGAUGAUGCUCAGCUGUGGAUAAUAUCAACAACAAUGGGACGAACAAUUUUGAUGAAUGCAAACUGAAAGAAAAUGCAGCAUAUGAAAUUCACAUUUUGGUAUAUUUUUAUUUGCUAAGUCUUUUCAGCUUUAAUAAACACAUGUCAAGAUAUACCUACUAAAUAUUCUAUCUUCUAUUGUGCAUUUUAGAAUGUCAAUUUUAAACUUAAAGUGCCCCCAAAUAUUUGGAAGAACAGGGUGAGGUGCAAGAACUUUUUUUUUUCAAGAAAAGAAAAUCCAGCAACAAAAACAACAACCAACAACAAUAAAGAGGGGGUAAUGACGUAGAUUCAGAGCUAAGCUUAUCUCACUCUACACUGUAUAACCUCUAUUUCUUACUGUGACAUUCAGAAUAAUAAGUGUACUCAUUAGGACAUUUUUAACCAAGCACAUCUUAACAAAGUCUGUUUUCCUCUUCAAUCUCAGUUCUUUGGUUCUAAGUCUAAAGAAGAAACACCAUUAGGAUUUGGCUUCUGUU
Long non-coding RNA from Panthera uncia (snow leopard), 1659 nucleotides. RefSeq lists it as uncharacterized. The transcript is spliced from 6 exons. NCBI's taxonomy places the organism in Eukaryota, Metazoa, Chordata, Mammalia, Carnivora, Felidae. The record is from RefSeq and is a predicted model, not a curated record.